CCCAGGCCGGUCCCCCGAUGAGGCUUCCUCUGGGUUGGGGUCCCUGGCCUGCCGGCAUCUGUGCCUGCUCCUGCUUGUCCAGAAAGCUGACCGAUCCUCGCUGCACUGGGCACUGUGCGCCUGGAGCCUCCCCCGGGGCGGGGAGUCCCGUGUGUCCAGCCUGGUCUCUGCCAUGGCCCAGGCGCGUGUGCGGCCUGAGCAGCGGCUACCAGCCCAGGCCACCUCAGACCCGGGAACGCACUGUAAGCUUUGGGCAAACGCCAGUAUCUGUCACUGUUUUUGACAUCUGGCCACGAGGGCCGUGCACGGCUGGGGUCGUCCCCUUACCCGCCAGCGCCCAAGGCCGCCCGGCAGACGCCUCAGCGCCACGUGGGCUUCUCUCUGGUCAGCGAGGGCGGGCGUCUCAGAGGGGCGCAGCCACACCCCUCCCCACCCCCCAGCCCGGUCCUUCAAGUUCUCGAGGGGAGCUGCACGGGAGGAACAGCAUCCGCCAGGCCGGGUCUGGCCGCCGAGGGGACAGCAGGGCGGUGAGAAGCCCCUGGAUGCCCCCGGAAGGCGCCGGAAGCCGCAGCAGGAGUGGCAGCCAGAAGCAGCCGUCGAGCCCCUCCGUCCAGCAGAGGCUUAGCGCUAAGUCCAGUCGGCGCCCCCGGGGCUUUGAGUGCAGUGCAGUUUUCCAGGCCCGGCGGCUUCAGGACUGGGAAAGGCGUGGGCUGUGCUGGGAUGUGUGACAGUGAUGUCCGCCCCGGUCACCCGGGGGACCCCACCCAGGACCCCACCCAGGACGCCAGGGGCUCUCCUGCCCAGAACUCCGCUGAUGCCAGGGGUCCCCGCACAAGACCCCGCCCCAGACAUCCAGGGGUCCCUGGCACAGGACCCCACCCCCAUUUGCCAGGGGGUCCCCACACAGGACGCUGUCCUGACGCCCAGAGCUCCCCCACCCCCGGCCCCACCCCAGCUCCCUCUGGGAGGCCUGGGGCUUCCAGCGAGCUGUGGCCGCCCCUGCGGGUUUC
Molecule: long non-coding RNA, 1010 nt
Filed under: Oryctolagus cuniculus (rabbit)
Lineage: Eukaryota; Metazoa; Chordata; Mammalia; Lagomorpha; Leporidae
Description: lncRNA (ENSOCUG00000033108.1)
Source: RNAcentral